This 326-nucleotide ribosomal RNA is filed under the name uncultured Bacteroidota bacterium. RNAcentral describes it as "bacterial SSU rRNA". It matches the Rfam family "Bacterial small subunit ribosomal RNA", at positions 28 to 351 of the family's 1533-position model. The record is from RNAcentral. Lineage: Bacteria; Pseudomonadati; Bacteroidota.
GAUGAACGCUAGCGGGAGGCUUAACACAUGCAAGUCGUGGGGCAGCAUAAUGUAGCAAUACGUUGAUGGCGACCGGCGCACGGGUGAGUAACGCGUAUGUAACCUACCCUGUACAGGGGGAUAGCCCGGAGAAAUUCGGAUUAAUACCCCAUAAAGAUAUAGAAUGGCAUCAUUUUAUAUUUAAAGUUUCGGCGGUACGGGAUGGGCAUGCGUAACAUUAGCUAGUUGGUAGGGUAACGGCCUACCAAGGCUACGAUGUUUAGGGGUCCUGAGAGGGUGAUCCCCCACACUGGUACUGAGACACGGACCAGACUCCUACGGGGCUG